CCUGAGAAACCCAAAAGAUCGAAUGGGGAGAUUCAUCGUCAGCGUGGCCGGCUUCCGUGCGGUUCGCGAUGGCCGGGAUCUCGGUCCCGUGUCACGCGUCCGCCGCGGUAUGUCUGGCCGCGUCGGCGUGCACUUCUCCCCUAGUAGGACGUCGCGACCCGUUGGGUGUCGGACCGAUGGCCGUUUGGUCGACUGUCUCGUCGCGUUCACGCGUGCACGCGGCAGACCGAAAUGGCCGAGCGUCCGGCUGCCCGGCGGUAUAGAACGCUAUUGAACGGUAACGAGCCGCACUAAGUGCGUUCAGGCUCGUCGGCAGGCUCGUCUCGCCCGGAUUUACGGACCUAGCGCCGUUGCCGGGUGCUUGGCGUGGCUGUUAGUCGACGAUGUCCUCGGACUGGCUCUAAAAUUCGAAAGGAUUACCGGUCGGCGACGCUACUGCUUUGGUACUUUC
Molecule: ribosomal RNA, 451 nt
Filed under: Achrysocharoides sp. 4 RDB-1999
Lineage: Eukaryota; Metazoa; Arthropoda; Insecta; Hymenoptera; Eulophidae
Description: eukaryotic LSU rRNA
Source: RNAcentral